GACGAACGCUGGCGGCGUGCCUAAUACAUGCAAGUAGAACGCUGAAGAGAGGAGCUUGCUCUUCUUGGAUGAGUUGCGAACGGGUGAGUAACGCGUAGGUAACCUGCCUGGUAGCGGGGGAUAACUAUUGGAAACGAUAGCUAAUACCGCAUAAAAUUGAUUAUUGCAUGAUAAUUAAUUGAAAGAUGCAACUGCAUCACUACCAGAUGGACCUGCGUUGUAUUAGCUAGUUGGUGAGGUAACGGCUCACCAAGGCGACGAUACAUAGCCGACCUGAGAGGGUGAUCGGCCGCACUGGGACUGAGACACGGCCCAGACGCCUACGGGAGGCAGCAGUAGGGAAUCUUCGGCAAUGGGGGGAACCCUGACCGCGCAACGCCGAGUGAGUGAAGAAGGUUUUCGGAUCGUAAAGCUCUGGUGUAAGAGAAGAACGGGUGUGAGAGUGGAAAGUUCACACUGUGACGGUAACUUACCAGAAAGGGACGGCUAAUUACGUG
Molecule: ribosomal RNA, 497 nt
Filed under: uncultured bacterium
Lineage: Bacteria
Description: partial 16S ribosomal RNA
Rfam family: Bacterial small subunit ribosomal RNA
Source: RNAcentral